RNAcentral lists this ribosomal RNA (377 nucleotides) under uncultured eukaryote. RNAcentral's name for it is "partial 18S ribosomal RNA". It matches the Rfam family "Eukaryotic small subunit ribosomal RNA", at positions 592 to 976 of the family's 1831-position model. The record is from RNAcentral.
CAAUAGCGUAUAUUAAAGUUGUUGCAGUUAAAAAGCUCGUAGUUGGAUUUCGGGGUGGCCUGGCUGGUCCGCCGCAAGGUGAGUACUGGUCAGCCGCCCUUCCUCUCGAAAGCCCCGACUGCUCUUUACUGCAGUGGUCGGGUAGUUCGGGACGUUUACUUUGAAAAAAUUAGAGUGUUCAAGGCAGGCUAUCGCCUGAAUACAUUAGCAUGGAAUAAUGGAAGAGGACCUCGGUCCUAUUUUGUUGGUUUCUAGGGCCGAAGUAAUGAUUAAGAGGGACAGUUGGGGGCAUUCGUAUUUAAUUGUCGGAGGUGAAAUUCUUGGAUUUAUGAAAGACGAACUAGUGCGAAAGCAUUUGCCAAGGAUGUUUUCAUUAA